This is a long non-coding RNA of Mizuhopecten yessoensis (Yesso scallop), 870 nucleotides long. RefSeq lists it as uncharacterized. NCBI's taxonomy places the organism in Eukaryota, Metazoa, Mollusca, Bivalvia, Pectinida, Pectinidae. The transcript is spliced from 4 exons. The record is from RefSeq and is a predicted model, not a curated record.
ACAGGCGGUUGUCUGUUCGAUGGACGUGUUUAUGGACCUGGCCAGGACAUUAUUAUCCAGAAAUGCGAGGCAAAACUCACAUGCCUCGGCAACAACAACAUUGGCAACGAAGUUCAACUUUUUGGAGAUUGUAGCAGCCUAGGACAACAAAAGCGAACGGUUGAUGGACAAAGUGGUUGUCUGUUUGACGGGAGGGUGUACGCGCCGGGACAAGUUAUUGCGGAGACCGGAGUACACCUUCGAUGUUUAGGACAUAAUCUAUACUCGUCCACUUUAUAACACGUAUCCAAACCCUCUCCGAUCUCCUUCAGCACACGAGUACGGAACCCUCAUCUUAUUCUGUAUAUCUUUAUCUAUAUACAAAUUAUUUUCAUAAGAUGAAGAUGGUGUAUUUAUCAUUUCAAUGUUCAAGUGCAUGGUAAAAGAGUCUAAGAUCAUGCUUUAAACUGCUACAUAUCGGCGGUUUAGGGAUAGAUUUUUACCAUACACGGUAAAUUGUGUAAUCUACUAGUUUUAAACUUUAAUUAAGUUGUGAUGAAUGAAUUCGAAGCACGUAUUUCCAAAAUAAACAAGUACUAAUUAUUAUGGGGACCAUUACAGAAGUCCCUCAAAGGACCCCUUUACUACGAAAUGAGUGCUGAAACCGGAACAUGGACGUUACGGUUGUAUUCGUGGUGUAAUAAAGUACCUAUAUACUAAAUUUCAUGAAAAUCGGACGAUAUUUAAAUUUGGACCAAUCAGAGGCCAGGAAAUGGCGGCCAUUUUGUUGAAAUGGACGUAACAGUUGUAUUUGUGGUGUCAUAGUACCUAUAUACCAAUUUUCAUGAAAAUCGGACAACAUUUAAAUUUUGACCUAUUUGUUGCCUCCCC